UCUUCAUUUCGCGUGCUCUCUCGCCUCUCUGACCGGUGAGAGAGUGCGUGAAAUGAAGAGA
This 61-nucleotide microRNA precursor is filed under the name Pristionchus pacificus. RNAcentral describes it as "mir-8364 microRNA precursor family". It matches the Rfam family "mir-8364 microRNA precursor family". Lineage: Eukaryota; Metazoa; Nematoda; Chromadorea; Rhabditida; Neodiplogasteridae. The record is from Rfam by way of RNAcentral.